Non-coding RNA from Microcebus murinus (gray mouse lemur), 525 nucleotides. The record is from RefSeq and is a predicted model, not a curated record. Lineage: Eukaryota; Metazoa; Chordata; Mammalia; Primates; Cheirogaleidae.
UACAUUUUUGUUUAUAAGUUACUUAGUUGGUAGCAUUCUCUUAUAGCAGCACAAAUGGACUAAGACAGGCAGCAUUAUUCUGAAUACUUUGAAUGUCUUCAAACUUUAGAUGUGUGAAUUUAUCUUAAAGAAAGAAUCCAGGACAGAGCUACGUGCACAAAGAUGUUUGCUUUAGCACCGGUUGAAGGCUGUUCUCACAACAAAACAAGAAAAAUGAUUAAGAAUGCAAGACAAAAAGGAGGAGUAACAACGAUCAGAUCCCAAAGGGCCAAGGGCUCAAAGUAGGGCUUCCAGAAGGAACAGUGCUCCAGGCUGGGCAUUGAAGGAUGGACAGAAUUUCAACUGGGGGUAAGGUGUGGCCUAAUACAGGACGUGGUGGUCACUUAAGGAUGAGGGGGAUGAAGAGCACUGAAGGAGAAGCUGCAGUUAUAAAAAGGCUCUCAGUGAUGUAAAAGCGGCUUUGAACUGGGAAGGGAAGGGGCAGAUCCACCCCUGGGUGGGCCAUUGUUCCUCCCAAUGCUGACU